RNAcentral lists this ribosomal RNA (497 nucleotides) under uncultured bacterium. RNAcentral describes it as "partial 16S ribosomal RNA". It matches the Rfam family "Bacterial small subunit ribosomal RNA", at positions 28 to 507 of the family's 1533-position model. The record is from RNAcentral.
GACGAACGCUGGCGGCGUGCCUAAUACAUGCAAGUUGAGCGCUGAAGGUUGGUCCUUGUACCAACUGGAUGAGCAGCGAACGGGUGAGUAACGCGUGGGGAAUCUGCCUUUGAGCGGGGGACAACAUUUGGAAACGAAUGCUAAUACCGCAUAAAAACUUUAAACACAAGUUUUAAGUUUGAAAGAUGCAAUUGCAUCACUCAAAGAUGAUCCCGCGUUGUAUUAGCUAGUUGGUGAGGUAAAGGCUCACCAAGGCGAUGAUACAUAGCCGACCUGAGAGGGUGAUCGGCCACAUUGGGACUGAGACACGGCCCAAACUCCUACGGGAGGCAGCAGUAGGGAAUCUUCGGCAAUAGACGAAAGUCUGACCGAGCAACGCCGCGGGAGGGAAGAAGGGUUUCGGAUCGUAAAACUCUGUUGGUAGAGAAGAACGUUGGUGAGAGUGGAAAGCUCAUCAAGUGACGGUAACUACCCAGAAAGGGACGGCUAACUACGUG